GUCUAAAACGUUCAGUAGUUACUCCAGAUAGUCAAAAAGCAAAAAACUAAAACCAAAUCCUGGAUACUAAUAAAAUGAUUCAACAACACAUUAAAGAAUAGCAACAGUUCUUCGAAUAGCAACUGGUUUUACUGUGACGAAUCAAUGGUUCGAUCGACCAUUUUUAAAAGCGUCUCGUUGCAUAUAUCAUAAAAAAUAUGCGAACCAACGUUUACCAGUUGGUAUGGUCACAAGAAUGCAAAGUUAUUUAUCAACGUUAUUUACAUUUUUCAACGUUUCACCAUCGUGUGACAAGUUUUAUAAACGUGCUUUUUUAACAUUCAUCAAAAAACUAUUGUACCAACCAUAGUUUUCUUGUUCAUUCUCAAACUGGUUACAACAGCAUCACAUGUCUCAAAUGGAAAAGUUCCAUAGCGAGCUAGAUAACUUAACAAUUCGUUGGCCUGGUGGAUCGGAUAUUCAAUUCAGUGAUGACCAAAAACUCAAACAGGUAGUCAGAAAACAAUAUCCAGAUUGGAAACUCAAGGGAAAGGUGACUUCAAUCCCCGCGGUGAGGGUUCCUUCAAUGUUUCUGGGACCAGAGAUGAUGAGCGAACGACUGAACAAACAAUACGAACGAAUUCAAAAAGGCGAGGAAGGCGAGUUGAAAGUAUACAGAAAAAUGCGCGAUGGAUUUGGACCAGACCAACCUGGCAUUAUGAUUCUACCAAACUUAGAUACCAAUGGGCUGUUUAAAUCGAAAUCAGGAGUAGUAGAAAUCGACAUUAUAGUUUUACACCCAUCGAAAGGUAUCUUUGUCGUGAGUGUUAAAAACCGAAAAAUGGGUGAUCAAAGACCUGGCAUGGACGGUGCAGCAGUGAAAAAUUUUGAAGACGAAUUCAAAGAAAAACUAAAGAAAGAAAUGCUUAAGCACACUGAUUUUAUCGUGCAGCUCUCGAACUACAAAACAUCACCUUGUUCGUCUAGUUCCAGCCUUGAUUUUAUUCCCGUACACGCUGUUUUCUGCCAACUUUCGUGGAGCUCAGAAAAUAUGCAAGAUCUGGAAACAAACAAGGAAUGGUAUACUUCCAAUGACACUGAACAUGUUUUAAUGUUUCAACAGCCAGAUUUUACAAACUUUCAGAAAAACUGGUCUGAAAAAAUGUCACAAAUUCGUGACAUCGCAAUGCACGAUCACUUUGAAACCACUAUCGCCCGUUUAGUAGCAUUGAGUUCGAUGGACAGUGCAACUGCACUCAUACACGAUAAAAUGAUAUCCAAUAGCUUGCAGUCAAUUCAAGCUAAACAGAAAGAUCUGAAGACUAGACUUGAUCAACAAUUUGCCAAUACAUCCGGAAACAUUAGUGAGGAUUCAUUGAGAGAACUGAAAAAUAUUAUGCAGAAAGAAAUUGUACAAUCUAAUAGAAAUCAGUCGAAAAGAGGAAAAAUGAAAGUUAUUCUUUGGACCAAGGAACAGCUGGAAAUAAUUGCAGAAGUCUAUGAAACUUUAACAUGCAAUGACGGUAGACUACUGCGUAUGCAUGUGAAAGGUCCUAAAGGUUCUGGGAAAACAAUGCUUUUAAUAUACUUGGCCAAACUAGCACAAGCUAUUCUCGAUGCUAAAAAGCAGAAAUCUUGCAAGCAAGUGUUUAUCUGUUGUGGGACUUUCGAGCCAUCCGCCGUGCUAUAUGCGCAUUUACGAAAAGUUUUGGACGGUUCAAAGGUUGUGAUACUUAAGGAUGUUUUAAAGGAUUUUGCAGAGAAAAUAGUUUACUUAGAAGGAAUAAUUUUUCUUGACGAAACAGAUAAUCUUUUCCCCAACAAGAAAAUCCUCUGUGAAAUGAAAAAAAAUCAUGUGUGUUUAUUUACUUCAAUGAGGAUACCACUUGACUACCAACGGAGUUUUAAUCUUCGGACUCUAAGUUACAACCUACGAUCCACAAUUCAACUAUCUCAGUUCUGUACGAGCAUGAGAUCUGCGUUUCAGUACACUGUGGACAUCAAAGGAAAAUGCGCUCACAAUCUCGAGGGAGAACAGCCAGAUAUAGUAGUUUCCUCGCCAGGUGAGCUACUUGAGAUUUGCCUGGCAAUCAUUGCUAAGUACUCUCAGGAGUCCUUGGACGCUUAUUCAACACUCGUCAGUUCAAGAUAUCUAUCACCAGCUUCUGAUAUCGCUCUCCACCGCCUGCUUACUCAACAUGACAUAAAAUAUUACAGCCAAAUCGACUUGAACUGCAUCGACGAAAAGCUAAUGCAAAGCUCAAAUCAAAUCUGCUUAUUAAAUGAAGGAGUUAUAGGAGCGGAGUUUGGAACAGUCAUUUUGCCAUUAGAAGCAUCAUGCCGUCGCCCAAUAGAAGAAGACAUCCUUAAUAUCAUUACACGAGCUACUAUGCGACUAGUUGUUAUAGUUGAACAGCCAGAAUGUGCACAUCUAUCGAGAGAACUUGCAAGAUCAGAUAUAAUCGAUCAUGUAAAAAAUAACCCUCAACGCCACUAUUAUAUAAGAGAGCAGGAUAUACCAGAUUACUUUGAAGGACUGCAGAAGAUUGGCAGUAUUCUUGAACAAGCGCAGAGCGUGAUUGUUGUUGGAGAUUAUCCUUAUUUACCAAACUUCUCAUUGGUUGAGCCGAUACAAAACAAAACAUUCCCCAAAACUGUCAAACAAUACGUUCACAGAAGUGGUCUAAAUAUUUUUGCGUUUCCUAACGUGAUGGUCUUAUGUAAGCAUUUUCUGUACCAUUUUGAGUCAACCGAAAAUAGCUUUAUCAUAGCCAUAGCUAUUGUCAAAAACUACACAGAUUAUUUUCUGAUGGAUUUCUUUACCCGUAACACAGUGUAUCACCACACACUGUUUGAAAUAAAAUUUAUAUGCAUACCCCCCGACAAAGAAAAUUAUAAAUUACUGUUCGAUUUGUUGCUCGCUCAAAAACAGAACCGCUGUGGCCUCCGAAAAACUACAAAACCCAUUCAUUCAGAAGAACAGAAAAUAGCAGAGUUUCAUUCUGAUCAAAAAAAUAAUGUACCGUAUUCCUGGCAAGACUGGAAAGAGCUGGCCAAAAGUCACAGACUUGAGCAAGCUGAUAUAGAAUUCAUUUUAUUCUUUCGAAUAAGUCACAGUAAACUCACAGCUCUAUACGAAAGAUUUGAUGGCACUUUGGAUACGUUAAUUAGCUAUCGUCAAGAAUUGGCUAAAUUGUGCACAAAUUUUUCAAAAAUCAAAUACGAUUUGGCCGCAACUGAAAAGCUAUCUUUGAAAGCAGGUCUUGAACUGAUUAAAAGUAUCAGUUUUGCGUUAGAAGCAAGUAGGUGGAAUCCAAAAUGGUCCAAAAGUUAUUACAGAAUGAAAAAAGCAAGUAAAGUAGAGUUUGACUUAACGUACGAUGAAAACGCUAGCGAUGCAAUGUUUAACACUUUGAAGCAAGACAGCCUAUUUAAGUUACAUAACAUGCUUUCGCUUACUUUGAAGACGAAAAACAUGAAGGAAGAAAAACUCAAUGAAGAAAUUGCCCGAAUUUUGAACGAUAAAAGUGAAGAUGCAAUUAACUAUAGAAAACAAAUUUCCGAGGAAAUGUUGAAUGCAGCAAGAUAUUAUUUUCAAAGUGAAUCACCCAAUGAUUGUUUAACCACUUACAAUUUAGUGCUAGACGCGAAGUUCAUGAAUCCAGACAGUCCUAAUUGCUCAAUCUUUUUAAAAGAGCAUGUGGAAUUUCUGCACUCAAAAGCAACUGAACGAGAAUUGUUGUUCAAAAAAGUCCAAGAGGACAAAUUGUUGCGAGAACUUGUUCUAUUUGACAUCGGCUACAACUUAAUAACAAAACUAAACAAAAAUCCAGACCAAGAGAUACCGAUACAAUCUACCAGAUUCCAGGAUAUGUAGCAUUUUGAUUCUACUAACACCUUUUCAAUA
Molecule: long non-coding RNA, 3886 nt
Organism: Symsagittifera roscoffensis
Lineage: Eukaryota; Metazoa; Xenacoelomorpha; Acoela; Convolutidae
Exons: 3
Source: RefSeq, a predicted model, not a curated record